RNAcentral lists this ribosomal RNA (253 nucleotides) under uncultured bacterium. Its description in RNAcentral is "partial 16S ribosomal RNA". It matches the Rfam family "Bacterial small subunit ribosomal RNA", at positions 524 to 776 of the family's 1533-position model. The record is from RNAcentral.
UACGGGGGGUGCGAGCGUUGUCCGGAAUCACUGGGCGUAAAGGGUGCGUAGGCGGUUGUUUAAGUUUGGUGUGAAAUCUCCCGGCUCAACUGGGAGGGUGCGCCGAAUACUGAAUGACUAGAGUGCGGGAGAGGAGAGUGGAAUCCCUGGUGUAGCGGUGAAAUGCGUAGAUAUCAGGAGGAACACCGGUGGUGUAGACGGCUCUCUGGACCGUAACUGACGCUGAGGCACGAAAGCGUGGGUAGCAAACAGG